Oncorhynchus kisutch (coho salmon) is the source of this 215-nucleotide long non-coding RNA. RefSeq lists it as uncharacterized. The record is from RefSeq and is a predicted model, not a curated record. NCBI's taxonomy places the organism in Eukaryota, Metazoa, Chordata, Actinopteri, Salmoniformes, Salmonidae. The transcript is spliced from 3 exons.
GUUGCUAAUCGCUAGCAAGUUAGCUUAGCCCCUUGCUACUAGUCGGGGUGGUUGAGGUGCCACAAGGAGAUUGGAUUGUAAUCCUUUAGUCCCAUAAAUAUAAGAAGAAUAGUCUGCAACGAUCGUGGUCCUCCCCGGAUGAGGAAUUGGAAGGAUCAGACCAAAACGCAGUGUGAUGAAGAGGAGGACGACCGUGACAGAAUCACCCACCAACC